UACGUAGGGUGCAAGCGUUGUCCGGAAUUAUUGGGCGUAAAGAGCUCGUAGGCGGUUUGUCGCGUCUGCUGUGAAAACGCGAGGCUCAACCUCGCGCCUGCAGUGGGUACGGGCAGACUAGAGUGCGGUAGGGGAGAUUGGAAUUCCUGGUGUAGCGGUGGAAUGCGCAGAUAUCAGGAGGAACACCGGUGGCGAAGGCGGCAUCCUGGACCAAUACUGACACUGAGGAGCGAAAGCCAGGGGAGCAAACGGG
This 253-nucleotide ribosomal RNA is filed under the name uncultured bacterium. RNAcentral describes it as "partial 16S ribosomal RNA". It matches the Rfam family "Bacterial small subunit ribosomal RNA", at positions 524 to 776 of the family's 1533-position model. The record is from RNAcentral.